Podarcis lilfordi (Lilford's wall lizard) is the source of this 75-nucleotide non-coding RNA. The record is from the annotation of a GenBank genome assembly. NCBI's taxonomy places the organism in Eukaryota, Metazoa, Chordata, Lepidosauria, Squamata, Lacertidae.
UGCAGGCAUAGCUCAGCCAGUAGAGCGUGAGACUCUUAAUCUCAGGGUGGUGGGUUCAAGCCCCACGCUGGGCAA